RNAcentral lists this ribosomal RNA (497 nucleotides) under uncultured bacterium. Its description in RNAcentral is "partial 16S ribosomal RNA". It matches the Rfam family "Bacterial small subunit ribosomal RNA", at positions 28 to 507 of the family's 1533-position model. The record is from RNAcentral.
GAUGAACGCUGGCGACGUGCCUAAUACAUGCAAGUCGAACGCAUAGCGAAAGGUGCUUGCACCUUUCAAGUGAGUGGCGAACGGGUGAGUAACACGUGGACAACCUGCCUCAAGGCUGGGGAUAACAUUUGGAAACAGAUGCUAAUACCGAAUAAAACUUAGUGUCGCAUGACACAAAGUUAAAAGGCGCUUCGGCGUCACCUAGAGAUGGAUCCGCGGUGCAUUAGUUAGUUGGUGGGGUAAAGGCCUACCAAGACAAUGAUGCAUAGCCGAGUUGAGAGACUGAUCGGCCACAUUGGGACUGAGACACGGCCCAAACUCCUACGGGAGGCUGCAGUAGGGAAUCUUCCACAAUGGGCGAAAGCCUGAUGGAGCAACGCCGCGUGUGUGAUGAAGGCUUUCGGGUCGUAAAGCACUGUUGUAUGGGAAGAACAGCUAGAAUAGGAAAUGAUUUUAGUUUGACGGUACCAUACCAGAAAGGGACGGCUAAAUACGUG